GGAAGAGUGGCCGAGCGGUUUAAGGCACCGGUCUUGAAAACCGGCGAUGGGCGACCAUCCGUGGGUUCGAAUCCCACCUCUUCCGCCA
Molecule: transfer RNA, 88 nt
Filed under: Gammaproteobacteria bacterium
Lineage: Bacteria; Pseudomonadati; Pseudomonadota; Gammaproteobacteria
Description: tRNA-Ser
Rfam family: tRNA
About the family: Transfer RNA (tRNA) molecules are approximately 80 nucleotides in length. Their secondary structure includes four short double-helical elements and three loops (D, anti-codon, and T loops). Further hydrogen bonds mediate the characteristic L-shaped molecular structure. tRNAs have two regions of fundamental functional importance: the anti-codon, which is responsible for specific mRNA codon recognition, and the 3' end, to which the tRNAs corresponding amino acid is attached (by aminoacyl-tRNA synthetases). tRNAs cope with the degeneracy of the genetic code in two manners: having more than one tRNA (with a specific anti-codon) for a particular amino acid; and 'wobble' base-pairing, i.e. permitting non-standard base-pairing at the 3rd anti-codon position.
Source: RNAcentral